UUAGCUCCUGAAAAGAAAGAAGCAGAUCCUUAAAAGCUCGCGCAGUUGGCAAACAGAUUUCUCCUGCUAGAUUCUGCAAUACAUGUUAUGUAAAAGGUAAAGAUUUUCUCCUGACAUUAAAUUUAGUCAUGUCCAACUCUGAGGGUUGGUACUCAUCUCCUUUUCUAAGCCGAAGAGCCGGCAUUGUCUGUAGACACCUCCAAGGUCAUGUGGCCGGUAUAAUUGCAUGGAGCGCCGUUACCUUGCCAUUGGAGAGGUACCAAUUGAUCUACUCACAUUUGCAUGUUGUCGAACUGUUAGGUUGGCAGAAGCUGGGGCUAACAGCGGGAGCUCACCUCAUCUGCAGAUUCAAACUGCUGACCUUUCAGUCAGCAAGUUCAACAGCUCAGCGGUUUAGCCUGCUGCACCACCAGAUAAAUACACGUUACAUUGGUAAAAUCCCUCCCUAAAAGCCAGUAAUACAGUAGAGUCUCGUUUAUCCAACUUUCGCUUACCCAACAUUCUGUAUUAUCCAACAAAAUCUGCCUUUUAGUAGUCAGUGUUUUUGUAGUCAAUGUUUUCAAUAUAUUGUAAUGUUUUGGUGCUAAAUUCGAAAAUAGCAUCCUCAGAGGAUGCCUGCCAUAGAUGUGGGCGAAACGUCAGGAGAUAAUACUUCUACAACAUGGCCAUACAGCCCGGAAAACAUACAACAACCCCAGAAACAGUACAGUUUAGAAGUCAGUUAGUAUCAGUAUGCUGCAGUGAAUAGUCAGUCUGUACUGAAUCAAUGUUCAGUAAUGUAUUAGGCUGAAGAGAGUGUUAGUUUAUAUGCAACAAAGAAGAGACUAAAACAGAAUGCUUUAGAGAGCAAAUUGUUUCAACUCUCAGCCAAUAAGAAAUGUAUUUCUAUGAUGAAUACAUUAACUAAGUAAAUUAACUAUGUUGUACUUUUAACUGAGACUACUUAUUUUUGGUCUCUUGAGAAUAUGAUUUAAAAGCAAUAUAUUUCAUGGGAGAUUAGAUGUUUUUUGGGCAACUGAAAUGACACUUCUGAAGAUCUGCUAUAUGUUUUAUGCAUUAGCAUAUCUUUGUUUCUAACAGUUCAGAGAGAUAACCAGAUAUAUCGGUUAAACAACUUGCCUUAACUUAAAUUGCCUUGCAUUAAUACUUGUGGAUAUUUAUUUACCACUAAGGAGAGGAUUCACUCAAAUGAGUAUUUAACUCUUCUCAGGAAGAUCAUAUUUUACAAAAAGGUUAUCAUUAUUCAAAAUAGUGUGAAUGCCAAUUAAUCUCCAAAAGGGUCACACUUCCAAAAGGGUAUGAAGAUCCCUGGUUUUAUAAAAGGUUAUGAACUAAAAGGUCAUGCUUUUCCAAAAAAAACCUCAUACUGGUAAAAGCAACAAGUAAAAAUACAUUUCAUAGCCGUAAACUAUCACUGACUCAUACCACUUUUAAUGAAAGUUUCUUCAGUGACUGCCUAAAUGCUACUGAGCCUAACUGAAUGCAAAGUGCAACAUCGGUCUUCUGCUUCCUGAUCGACAGGGGAACAGGCCCCAGUCAAUUGUAGUAAAUGGGGAACUUUCACUGGCCUUCCAUAUCUUCUAGAGCGAGGAAGAUACAGAGACUGUGAAUAUGAAACUCUCACAAGUAUAGAGAGCCUCACCAGCUUCUACCACGUGGUCCAUAGUCGGGAACCUCUUAAGCACCCUGGUGCUGACUGAACGUAGGAUGAGCACAGAUGAAAGGUUGGCAUAACGGAUGAGAGUACGCCGCAAGAUUCGUCCCCUCUCAUCUCUUCCAUGCACAUUGCUGGAAACGACGCACAUCAGCUGAUCUGGCAGCGGGAUGCUGGUAUACUGGGCCCACCAACGGUUCACAAUCAAUGUGACAUAGAAACCUGCCAAGAAAGACACAGAAGAGGCUUUUAAGAGUACUGAGCGAAGGGAAAUUGUACUCAGUGUGAGGGUGAUACUAAGUAAUCCGACUUAUGAAUUACUGCCACUAAACCAUGUUAACACCAGGAAUCAAAAAGAUCUGCCCAUGACAUCACUGGUUUCAAUUGUUCAUCAUUUUAGUUUAUUAAAAUAUUAAGUAAUCAUGUGAAUAUUUUAAGAUUUAGUUUAAUGAUUUCUAAAUUAAAACUAUAGUUUGUUUA
This is a long non-coding RNA of Anolis carolinensis (green anole), 2134 nucleotides long. RefSeq lists it as uncharacterized. The record is from RefSeq and is a predicted model, not a curated record. NCBI's taxonomy places the organism in Eukaryota, Metazoa, Chordata, Lepidosauria, Squamata, Anolidae. The transcript is spliced from 2 exons.